RNAcentral lists this ribosomal RNA (253 nucleotides) under uncultured bacterium. RNAcentral describes it as "partial 16S ribosomal RNA". It matches the Rfam family "Bacterial small subunit ribosomal RNA", at positions 524 to 776 of the family's 1533-position model. The record is from RNAcentral.
UACAGAGGGGGCAAGCGUUGUUCGGAAUUACUGGGCGUAAAGGGCGCGUAGGCGGCCCGCUAAGUCGAACGUGAAAUCCCCGGGCUCAACCCGGGAACUGCGUCCGAUACUGGCAGGCUUGAAUCCGGGAGAGGGAUGCGGAAUUCCAGGUGUAGCGGUGAAAUGCGUAGAUAUCUGGAGGAACACCGGUGGCGAAGGCGGCAUCCUGGACCGGCAUUGACGCUGAGGAGCGAAAGCCAGGGGAGCAAACGGG